CCAGACUCCUACGGGAGGCAGCAGUGGGGAAUAUUGGGCAAUGGGCGCAAGCCUGACCCAGCAACGCCGCGUGAAGGAAGAAGGCUUUCGGGUUGUAAACUUCUUUUGUCAGGGACGAAGCAAGUGACGGUACCUGACGAAUAAGCCACGGCUAACUACGUGCCAGCAGCCGCGGUAAUACGUAGGUGGCAAGCGUUAUCCGGAUUUAUUGGGUGUAAAGGGCGUGUAGGCGGGAAUGCAAGUCAGAUGUGAAAACUAUGGGCUCAACCCAUAGCCUGCAUUUGAAACUGUAUUUCUUGAGUGCUGGAGAGGCAAUCGGAAUUCCGUGUGUAGCGGUGAAAUGCGUAGAUAUACGGAGGAACACCAGUGGCGAAGGCGGAUUGCUGGACAGUAACUGACGCUGAGGCGCGAAAGCGUGGGGAGCAAACAGGAUUAGAUACCCCAGUA
RNAcentral lists this ribosomal RNA (447 nucleotides) under uncultured bacterium. RNAcentral describes it as "bacterial SSU rRNA". It matches the Rfam family "Bacterial small subunit ribosomal RNA", at positions 331 to 792 of the family's 1533-position model. The record is from RNAcentral.